CCUACGGGGCGCAGCAGUCGAGAAUCAUUCACAAUGGGGGAAACCCUGAUGGUGCGACGCCGCGUGGGGGAAUGAAGGUCUUCGGAUUGUAAACCCCUGUCAUGUGGGAGCAAAUUAAAAAGAUUGUACCACAAGAGGAAGAUACGGCUAACUCUGUUCCAGCAGCCGCGGUAAUACAGAGGUCUCAAGCGGUGUUCGGAAUCACUGGGCGUAACGGGUGCGUAGGCUGGUUCGGAAGUCGGGUGUGAACGGCGCGGGCUCAACCCGCGGACGGCACAUGAUACUGCGAGACGAGAGGAAUGGAGGGGGAACCGGAAUUCUCGGUGUAGCAGUGAAAUGCGUAGAUAUCGAGAGGAACACUCGUGGCGAAGGCGGGUUCCUGGACAUUAACUGACGCUGAGGCACGAAGGCCAGGGGAGCGAAAGGGAUUAGAUACCCCUUGUAGUC
RNAcentral lists this ribosomal RNA (447 nucleotides) under uncultured bacterium. RNAcentral describes it as "partial 16S ribosomal RNA". It matches the Rfam family "Bacterial small subunit ribosomal RNA", at positions 338 to 795 of the family's 1533-position model. The record is from RNAcentral.